AACGAACGCUGGCGGCAGGCUUAACACAUGCAAGUCGAACGCCUAUAGCAAUAUAGGAGUGGCGCACGGGUGAGUAAUACUUGGGAACGUGCCUUAGAGUCUGGGAUAACUACUGGAAACGGUAGCUAAUACCGGAUAUUCCCUCCGGGGGAAAGAUUUAUCGCUCUAAGAUCGGCCCAAGCCAGAUUGGCUAGUUGGUGAGGUAAUGGCUCACCAAGGCUCCGAUCUGUAGCUGUUCUGAGAGGAAGACCAGCCACACUGGAACUGAGACACGGUCCAGACUCCUACGGGAGGCAGCAGUGGGGAAUAUUGGACAAUGGGCGAAAGCCUGAUCCAGCCAUGCCGCGUGAGUGAUGAAGGCCUUAGGGUUGUAAAGCUCUUUUGCCAGGGAAGAUGAUGAUGGUACCUGGAGAAUAAGCACCGGCUAACUUCGUGCCAGCCGCCGCCGUAA
Molecule: ribosomal RNA, 451 nt
Filed under: uncultured bacterium
Lineage: Bacteria
Description: partial 16S ribosomal RNA
Rfam family: Bacterial small subunit ribosomal RNA
Source: RNAcentral